GGGCCCGUCGUAUAGUGGCAAUAUACGGCAUUCGCAUUGCCGGGACGCGGUUUCGAUUACCGCCGGGUCCACAA
Molecule: transfer RNA, 74 nt
Filed under: Candidatus Yanofskybacteria bacterium RIFCSPHIGHO2_01_FULL_43_32
Lineage: Bacteria; Candidatus Yanofskyibacteriota
Also listed under: 5 other names
Description: tRNA-Ala
Rfam family: tRNA
About the family: Transfer RNA (tRNA) molecules are approximately 80 nucleotides in length. Their secondary structure includes four short double-helical elements and three loops (D, anti-codon, and T loops). Further hydrogen bonds mediate the characteristic L-shaped molecular structure. tRNAs have two regions of fundamental functional importance: the anti-codon, which is responsible for specific mRNA codon recognition, and the 3' end, to which the tRNAs corresponding amino acid is attached (by aminoacyl-tRNA synthetases). tRNAs cope with the degeneracy of the genetic code in two manners: having more than one tRNA (with a specific anti-codon) for a particular amino acid; and 'wobble' base-pairing, i.e. permitting non-standard base-pairing at the 3rd anti-codon position.
Source: RNAcentral